GCUGUCUGCUGCCUUGGGUGCUUUCCUUCCUUGUCUGUGCCUCCUGUGCAGGAGCAUGAUGGACUUCUCCAUUUGCAGAGGAUGGUUUGCAUUGUGACUCUGAAAACUGCCAACGGAAUCAGCAGUCAGACUGUAGUUGGUCACAGCAGGAGCCCCAGCUCCUGGUAAAGCCCACUGUUGUGCUUGAUAUGGGGAACACAUGCACUCAUUGAGCUGCAGUUCUGCCACUCACUACAAAAGGGCAGCAGAUCCACCUCUGUCUCUGCCACGCAUAUCCCAACAGCAGUUGUUCACUGAAGCCACACUGUACAGAGGUUGGAGAGGUGCCAUAUCUCCAUCCAUCUUGCCCACAUGCAAAAGGCACUGGAAGACGGAAGCCUCUAUCUUAUGGAUAAAAAUACAGAUCUGGCCUCCAGGCAUUUCUACAAGUGUAUUCACUCUCUUGGAGUGCCUCUUCUAUAUGUGCUGCUGACUUGGAGCUUGCAUUCCUGCUCAGCGUGGCUCUGUGUUUUUCAAAGGCAGUGGAAAUUUUGUUUUGGAAACACCGCCGAGAACGCAAACAGGAAGCAGGAAGGACUUCUUCAGAAAUGGAAGAACCUGACGGGAGUACAGCUUCCAUUUUUUUGGAUCCAGCCCAUGAGUUGGGUUUGCAACAACAGCAAGAUAUGAGUGGUGAGGUCAAGAGAAAAGCAAACAUGUAGCAGCCACAGAGAGUGACUUUGAAAAUUGCCUGUUGGAACUCUGAGUCACUUAAUGUGCUACACACAGCCAGGAUGCCUAGAAAAAUAAAGAGAGAUGCUGAACAGUCCCUGCAGUGCAGCUGUGUUAUUGACAGAUGGGAUUAAGUGGUAGGAGUGCUCAAAGUGGGAUAUUUUUUUAAUAAGUGUGUUGCCUUUGUUUAUUGUAAUUUUGAUUUUUAGUUAUUUCUGUUAAGGCAUUUGGG
This 943-nucleotide long non-coding RNA is filed under the name Gallus gallus (chicken). The record is from RNAcentral. Lineage: Eukaryota; Metazoa; Chordata; Aves; Galliformes; Phasianidae.